UGAUGACAAUAAAAGCCGAAUUCUAUUAACCACUCGGCUCAAGUAUGUAGCUGAUUAUGUCAGCUGUCCUGAUUUUCCGCCUCAUAGUAAGUCUUUUCUAAGUCUAGAUGAUAGUUGGAAUCUAUUCACUGAAAAAAUAUUCAAAAAAGAUCCAUGUCCUAGUCUACUUGUAAAAAUAGGGAAGCAUAUUGUUCAACAAUGUCAAGGAUUACCUCUCUCAGUUAUUGUUGUUGCUGGACUUCUUGGAAAAAUCGACCCAACGCAUAACAAUUGGAAGAUCGUUGAGAAAAAUCUGAAUUCAUUCUUUGGUACGGUAUCCGAACGGUGCCAAUCAAUUCUUUCUUUGAGCUAUAAUUACUUGCCCCAAUAUUUGAGGACUUGUUUUCUUUAUGUUGGAGGUUUUUCUGAAGAUAUGGAGAUUGAUGUUUCCAAGUUGAUUAGGCUAUGGAUUGCUGAGCAAUUCGUAAAGGUAAGAAACAAUAAAAGGUUAGAAGUGGUGGCAGAGGAGUAUCUACAAGAGUUAAUAGAUAGAAGUCUAAUUUUGGUUGGUAAACAAAGGGCUAAUAGAAGGAUGAAAACUUGCAAAAUUCACGACCUUCUUCGACAACUGUGCAUAAGAGAAGGUCAAACUGAAAAUGGUUUGAAUGUCAUAACUGGGGAUGUCCCCAAAGCCAUAUAUCAUAGUAUGCAGCAUAGCAGUCGUAUAACUCGCACCUUUAUUCCAAUGCCAUCUUUUGGUUUAAUUUUUCCAAAAAGGAUUUUCUCCAUUGUUUUAGAGUUGAAGUUGCUUAAGGUGUUGGACGUAUUAUCAAUUGAAUGCAAUUUCUCUUGUGUAAUACCUCAUCUUAUACAUUUGAGAUAUGUUGCUGCAAGAAUUGAGAAAGCUCUUUCACUAGCCAAAUUGAGAAAUUUACAGACCAUAAUUCUUCAAAGUCUUGAAGAGACGGAGUUGAAGCACCCCGUAGAUAUUUGGACAAUGUCAGAGAUAAGACAUGUGGAUAUUGGAUUGCCACUAUAUAUAUCUAAUCCUCUUGAUGCCGAAAAUCAUAGUAUUGGAGAACAUCCUUUGUUUCUCAAUAACUUGCACACACUUUAUCUUCAUUAUUCUCCUUUUGUUGAGGAAAUCAUAACAAGAAGUCCCAAUCUAAAAAAGCUAAAGAUUUCAGAUAGAUCUGAGCAUCCUAUUUUUGAUUCUCUCAGUCUUCUACAUGAUUUGGAGACACUACAGAUAGCAACCUUUGACCCAAUGAUUUUCUCAGGAGAUAUUUUCCCUCCUAAUCUAAAGAAAUUGAAAUUAUCAUACACUAGAUUACCAUGGGAAGUUGUGAAUUUGCUUGCUAAUUUACCUAGUCUUGAGGUGCUCAAAGGGAAUGAUGCAUUCAAGGGAACAAAUUGGAGACUAGAUGAAGAUGUUGUGUUUCGCAAAUUAAAGCAUUUAAAAAUUGUAGCCGGAGAUCUGCAAAGGUGGGAAGCUGGUAGUGAUAAUUUUCCUAUGCUUGAGCAACUAAUACUGCAUCAGUUGCGUGAUCUGGAGGAGAUUCCCGAGAGUAUUGGAGAUAUAAUGACACUAAAAUUCAUCCAAAUAAACUGUUGCGGCUCUGGUGUAGACACUAGUGCAACGAAAAUUCAAGAAGAGCAACAAAGCUUAGAAAAUUAUGAGCUUCAAGUUCAAAUUACUCCUAUGGUAUGUUCAUUUCCAUCUUUCAUUAUUAGUCAAUUCUUAAUUAAUAUGUUCAUGUGCUCUUUCUAUAGAAGAGUAAUAUUUUUUGUUAUUUCGAAGUUUACUCAAAAGGGUCCACAUUUUUUCAACAGCCUGACUUAGCUCGAGCUACUACGCCUGUUGCUUGGAACAGGUAAUGUAUAACCUUCAUUUUUUCUGAAAAUUAUCAUGGAUUUUCAUUGUUUAGCUUCAAACUCUGUUUUGAGAUUGUUUGAAUUCAAUCUAAAAGAAGCUAUUGGAAGUGAUUUUCUAUGUUAUGUUAUGCUGGUAACUGGGGAAAUUAUUGGGCAGAUAUACUAAAAUAAGAUUCAAAAUGUAUACUCAGAAGAGAGAUAAAAUUAGGAUUGAAGAUAUAAGGCAGAAGGUGCGUAGGUAAUUGAUUGUUGACUCGCUAUCCUGUGGAUAGGCUUGGUGGUAAUUUGGUACAGAGUACUUGUUUCUCUGUUCAUACCAGUAGUAGUAAUAUUAUUCUCAUAGUUUCUUGUCCUACGAUUUUUGUUACUCCCCGUGUUUCAUGUGCUUUGGUUAUCACAUCAUUACUUAAUUUGCUCGGGCAGUUUCUCCCGGACUAGGAACCCUCUCUACUACCUGAAGCCCUGGAGUACUUAAGAAGUAGAAAUUAUAGAUAUGAAAUCUCUGCUUAAAUGUCUCCAUGAAAAUAGAUAGCAAGUGAAUAUUGAAGCAUCGAUAUGAUUACUUACACCGGAGUGUCAAAGCCAGAUGAAGAGUCCAGGCAUUAGAGAUGUUGUAUGAUCAAGAGAAGCAAAACGAAUGAGGCUUGCUAAGCUGUACGCCCCAAUUGCUUACAACAUGUCUUGAACCGUCGACCAAUAUAAUUGGUUAGAGGCGGAGGUGUUUCACCAACUGAGCAAGCAUCACUUGUCUUGCCAAAUAUAUUUUAUACAUAAAGUAUAAUGUUUAGUUGUAUAGUUUAUUCCUAUUUUUAAUGGUUUUCAAACAAUUUUUGCAGCUGGGAUAAGAAGCCUUUAUGGAAUAGGGAGACAGUGAAGGUGCCACUUGUUAGGCGCGUGAUUGAGGUGUCUCGUAGAGCUUCGAAGCUUUUAAAACGUACCCUAAUGGGGUUUGGAAAAGAUCGCCCUAUGUAAAUUGCAGUGUACUGUUUUUAACUAUUUCAGUUAGUUUUAUAAUCAUGUAAGAAAUAUAUAUAUGUUUUGCUUGAAAAUAUCUUCACAUAAUUAAAUAUAUAUAGAUAGUACAUUGAUUAUACACAUAUUGAACAUGGAUUAUACGUAUAUUGUAUAUCCGUCGGCUAUUUUUAGUCUAAUCAGUUUGAUGGACGGAUAUAUAGGUUAAUUAUUCGUAUCUUUCUUCACCUAUUUCUGAAUUAGAUAUACACCUCUUUGUUUAUUUGCACUACCAUUUUCUUCCCCCUCUCCCUCUAUUUAUUUUUCUUUUAUCUUUUAUGGUUAAAAUGUAAAAGUUACACCUAAAUUAUGCGAAAUAGAUUAAUUUUGAACUAUGAUCAAUUCUUUCAUCGAGACUUAAUUCAAAUCACGGUGAUAUUUUCUUGUUCCUAAAUGGGUAUGAUUCAAAUUGUAAACUCACCAUAGAAAAAGGUGUAGAUGAGCAAAAGUCACUUGACUGUAACGAGAGGAGCUCUAGCUUACUCUACUUCCACUGCCGCCUUUACUGUUUUGGCAUACAUAUUUUACUCGACUUUAAUUCUGGGUGGUAUAAGUAGACACUUUUAACUUGUAUAAAAUUGAACAAAUAGAUACAUGUGUCCUAUGUGGAGUCCUACAUGAAGAUUUAUGUCCUACGUGGAGUUCUACAUGUAUUAUGCCAUGUAGAACACAUGUGUCUUCUUCUUCAAAUUUUUAUACAAGUUUAAGUGUCUACUUGUGCACACCCAAAAUUAAGGAACAUAGAUGUCAACUGAAGCCAAGUUAAAAGAGUAUUAUGAGGUUUGAUUAACCAUGAAGUAGUGUAAACUGGCUGCAUUGUGCCAUCAUUAGUCAACAAACCCAUUAGCAAUCCAUCAAUUGCUUAAUUAAAGAUAAUGAUAGUAAAAGUUUAGUGCACUACACCUUAUCUCACAAUUAUAUAAUACAAAUAGUAAAAGUUAGUCCACUACCCCUUAUCUCACAAUUAUAUAAUACAAAAAGAGAUGCCCCAUUGAGAAUAUAGUACUAUUAAUUAAGUGAAAUAAUUUGAUUUACUUGUUGUAUAUGAUUGUGUUCUCAUUUGUCAAUGGAAAUCCAUCAUCUCUUGUAAUUAAACAAAUGAUAAAAGUAAGUACACUAAUCUUUGUCCCCCAUUUAAAAAAAGUUGGAAAUAAAAAAAAGUAAAUCAUUUGGACAAAACCUCUUAGCCUAAUAAUAACAAAGUAAAUUAUUCCAGCAAACUGCAAUAAUUUUUUUGUUAAGAGAAAUGGCUUAUGCUGCUCUUUCUUCACUUCUGUAUACAUUGGAACAACUAUUCAAACCUAAUCAAUCUUUCGUUUGUCGAAGCUACACGCAACAUGUUCAAUCUCUCUAUCAAAAUCUUUCUGCUCUGCAAGAUCUCCUUGACGAUACUACAAAGGAUACUGAAACUCUUAAGGUAUGUAAUUAACUAGUAUAGUUAUCUAAAUCUUACUGAUUUUUUAUAUUUUUUUCAAUAAUAAUUAAUUUACCGAGUUUCAAUUUCAAGGUUAUAGAAAUGAGGAUCAGAAAUGUAGUAUACAAAGCGGAAUAUAAAGUUGAUUUAUGUCUACGAAGGAUCAUUCUAGCAGAUCGUGAGGACAAGCGGGAAAAGGCUUAUACAUCCUUUUAUGAAGAAUUGUUGAAAGUGAAAGGACAAGUUUAUUUUCUCCACAAAGAGGUGAUGCAGAUUAAUGUUAAAAAGCAUGGAAGCAAAUCUGCAGAAUCAGCAACAACUACCUACUCACCAGAAAAAAGUACAAUUGAGGGAAAUACUAUUUUUGGGAUGGAGGAUGACUUCAACAUCAUACUUGAUCGCGUCACUGCCCAAACAGACGAGUUAACUGUCAUACCAAUUUUUGGUAUGGGCGGUAUCGGUAAGACAACUCUUGCCAGAAAAAUUUAUGAUGAUUCAUCUAUUUGUUCUCGAUUUGAUAAACAUGCAUGGGUCACUAUCUCCGAAGAAUACAAUCAGAGACAAAUGCUUCUUGAAGUAGCCUCUUCAAUUACCGGAAGCAAACAAGAAAUGAGUGAUGAUGAACUAAUGGAGAUUGUGUAUAGAGGCCUGAAGGGUAGGAGAUUCCUAAUUGUCAUAGAUGAUAUUUGGAGUACCGAGGCAUGGGACCAAAUGCAAAGAAUAUUUCCAAAUGAUGACAAUAAAAGCCGAAUUCUAUUAACCACACGGCUCAAGUAUGUUGCUGAUUAUGUCAACUGCCCUGAUUUUCCACCUCAUAGUAAGUCUUUUCUAAGUCUAGAAGAUAGUUGGAAUCUAUUUACCGAAAAAUUAUUCAAAAAGAUCACUGUCCUCCUCUUCUAGAAGAAAUAGGGAAGCAUAUUGUACAACAAUGUCGAGGAUUACCUCUCUCAGUGGUUGUCGUUGCUGGACUUCUUGGGAAAAUGGACCCAACACAGGAUAAUUGGAAGAAGGUUGAGGAAAAUCUGAACUCAUUCUUUGGUACGGUGUCCGAACGGUGCCAAUCAAUUCUGUCUCUGAGCUACAAUUACUUGCCCCAAUAUUUGAAGGCUUGUUUUCUCUAUGUUGGAGGUUUUCCAGAAGACAGAGAGAUUAAUGUUUCCAAGUUGAUUAGGCUAUGGAUUGCAGAGCAAUUUGUAAAGGCAAGAAGCAAUAUAAGAUUAGAAGUGGUGGCAGAGGAGUAUCUACAAGAGUUAAUUGAUAGAAGUCUAAUUUUGACUGGUAAACAAAGUUAUAAUGGAAGGAUGAGAACUUGCAAAAUUCAUGAUCUUCUUCGCCAAAUGUGCCUAAGUGAAACUCAUACUGAAAAUGUUGUGCAUGUCAUGAAUGGGAAUGUCCUCGUGUCCUUAUUAAAAGUAAUAGAUGAUCAGCGGCGAGUGAUAGGUCUGUGUAAACAUAAAGAGAAGCAAGUUUAUCCUACAAUGCAUAGCAAUUGUAUAACAAGUAUAGCUCGUACCUUUAUUUCAAAGCCAUUUUUUUACCACACCGGUUUUCCAGAAAGGAUUUGUUCCAUUGUUUCAGAAUUCAAGUUGCUUAAGGUGUUGGACGUAUUAUCACUCUGGUACGAUUUCUCUAGUGUAAUACCUGAGCUUGUACAUUUGAGAUAUGUUG
Molecule: long non-coding RNA, 5947 nt
Filed under: Solanum tuberosum (potato)
Lineage: Eukaryota; Viridiplantae; Streptophyta; Magnoliopsida; Solanales; Solanaceae
Description: long non-coding RNA (STUB_LNC010487)
Source: RNAcentral